This is a non-coding RNA of Acanthosepion pharaonis, 112 nucleotides long. The record is from the annotation of a GenBank genome assembly. NCBI's taxonomy places the organism in Eukaryota, Metazoa, Mollusca, Cephalopoda, Sepiida, Sepiidae.
ACGGGCACAUCACGUUGAAACACUGAUUCCCGUACAACCACCGAAGUUAAGCAACGUUGAGCCUAGUCAGUACCUAAAUAGGUAACCGCUUGGGGACACCAGGUGCUGUAAU